Long non-coding RNA from Bufo bufo (common toad), 377 nucleotides. RefSeq lists it as uncharacterized. NCBI's taxonomy places the organism in Eukaryota, Metazoa, Chordata, Amphibia, Anura, Bufonidae. The record is from RefSeq and is a predicted model, not a curated record. The transcript is spliced from 2 exons.
UGUAUUGGGAGGAGUGACUUUGGGAAUAAUAACGAUGAGGGGUGACCUGGGAUGGAGGAGUUCAGAGACAAGCUUAUCAUGGAAAGUGCAGGGGAUAAGACCAUAUCUAGGGUGUCGGCUUUAUCUUCUUUAGUGCCCUGACGCACAAUAUUUAUGCUAGCCUUACAGUACCUGUCUCAUCGCUGGGGGGGGGGGGGGGGGGGGUAUUGUAUGUUGGGAUACAUCUGAAAGGGUAUAUUUUUGUCUAGUCAGCUUUCGCUAUUGUAACAUGGAUGUCAAUUAUGGUAAAAGCCUUGAUCAUUUUCUGAGUACCAGAUUUGACUGUACAUGCAUAUCCCUUUCUUUUUUGUUCUUUUCUGUAGCUUGAAAACUUGUUU